GACGAACGCUGGCGGCGUGCUUAACACAUGCAAGUCGAACGGAAAGGCCCUGCUUUUGUGGGGUGCUCGAGUGGCGAACGGGUGAGUAACACGUGAGUAACCUGCCCUUGACUUUGGGAUAACUUCAGGAAACUGGGGCUAAUACCGGAUAGGAGCUCCUGCUGCUUGGUGGGGGUUGGAAAGUUUCGGCGGUUGGGGAUGGACUCGCGGCUUAUCAGCUUGUUGGUGGGGUAGUGGCUUACCAAGGCUUUGACGGGUAGCCGGCCUGAGAGGGUGACCGGCCACAUUAGGACUGAGAUACGGCCCAGACUCCUACGGGAGGCAGCAGUGGGGAAUAUUGCACAAUGGGCGGAAGCCUGAUGCAGCAACGCCGCGUGCGGGAUGACGGCCUUCGGGUUGUAAACCGCUUUCGCCUGUGACGAAGCGUGAGUGACGGUAAUGGGUAAAGAAGCACCGGCUAACUACGUG
This 468-nucleotide ribosomal RNA is filed under the name uncultured bacterium. Its description in RNAcentral is "partial 16S ribosomal RNA". It matches the Rfam family "Bacterial small subunit ribosomal RNA", at positions 28 to 507 of the family's 1533-position model. The record is from RNAcentral.